UAGUCAUAUGCUUGUCUCAAAGAUUAAGCCAUGCAUGUCUAAGUAUAAACAAGUUUAUACUGUGAAACUGCGCACAGCUCAUUAUAUCAGCAAUAAUUUAUUUGAUGGUUACUUACUACAUGGAUACCCGUAGUAAUUCUAGAGCUAAUACAUGCGUUAAAGUCCCGACUCCUUCACGGGGGGAGGGAUGUAUUUAUUAGAUAAAAAACCAAUGGCUUCUUCAGCAAUGGAGGAGUCCUCUUUGGUGAUUCAUAAUAACUGUUCGAAUCGCAUGGC
RNAcentral lists this ribosomal RNA (276 nucleotides) under uncultured eukaryote. RNAcentral describes it as "partial 18S ribosomal RNA". It matches the Rfam family "Eukaryotic small subunit ribosomal RNA", at positions 21 to 277 of the family's 1831-position model. The record is from RNAcentral.